UGCGCAGGCGGCCCUGUAAGACCGGCGUGAAAUCCCCGGGCUCAACCUGGGAAUUGCGCUGGUGACUGCAGGGCUAGAGUACGGUAGAGGGGGGUGGAAUUCCUGGUGUAGCAGUGAAAUGCGUAGAGAUCAGGAGGAACACCGAUGGCGAAGGCAGCCCCCUGGGCCUGUACUGACGCUCAUGCACGAAAGCGUGGGAGCAAACA
This 206-nucleotide ribosomal RNA is filed under the name uncultured bacterium. Its description in RNAcentral is "partial 16S ribosomal RNA". It matches the Rfam family "Bacterial small subunit ribosomal RNA", at positions 568 to 774 of the family's 1533-position model. The record is from RNAcentral.